RNAcentral lists this ribosomal RNA (497 nucleotides) under uncultured bacterium. Its description in RNAcentral is "partial 16S ribosomal RNA". It matches the Rfam family "Bacterial small subunit ribosomal RNA", at positions 28 to 507 of the family's 1533-position model. The record is from RNAcentral.
GAUGAACGCUGGCGGCGUGCCUAAUACAUGCAAGUCGAGCGAACGGACGAGAAGCUUGCUUUUCUGAUGUUAGCGGCGGACGGGUGAGUAACACGUGGAUAACCUACCUAUAAGACUGGGAUAACUUCGGGAAACCGGAGCUAAUACCGGAUAAUAUUUUGAACCGCAUGGUUCAAAAGUGAAAGACGGUCUUGCUGUCACUUAUAGAUGGAUCCGCGCUGCAUUAGCUAGUUGGUAAGGUAACGGCUUACCAAGGCAACGAUGCAUAGCCGACCUGAGAGGGUGAUCGGCCACCCUGGAACUGAGACACGGUCCAGACUCCUACGGGAGGCAGCAGUAGGGAAUCUUCCGCAAAGGGCGAAAGCCUGACGGAGCAACGCCGCGUGAGUGAUGAAGGUCUUCGGAUCGUAAAACUCUGUUAUUAGGGAAGAACAUAUGUGUAAGUAACUGUGCACAUCUUGACGGUACCUAAUCAGAAAGCCACGGCUAACUACGUG